This 119-nucleotide ribosomal RNA is filed under the name Pteropus alecto (black flying fox). The record is from RNAcentral. Lineage: Eukaryota; Metazoa; Chordata; Mammalia; Chiroptera; Pteropodidae.
UUCUAUGGUCAUGCCACCCUGAACAAGACCCAACCCUUCUGAUCUCAGAAGCUAAGCAGGGUCGAGCCUGGUUAGUACUUGGAUGGGAGACCACCUUGGAAGACCAAGUGCUGUAGGCU